CCUACGAGAGGCAGCAGUGAGGAAUAUUGGUCAAUGGACGAGAGUCUGAACCAGCAAAGUAGCGUGAAGGAUGACUGCCCUAUGGGUUGUACACUUCUUUUAUAUGGGAAUAAAAUGUUCCCCGUUUGGGAUUUUGUAUGUACCAUAUGACUAAGGAUCGGCUAACUCCGUGCCAGCAGCCGCGGUAAUACGGAGGAUCCGCGCGUUAGCCGGAUUUAUUGGGGUUAAAGGCAACGUAGGUGGAUUGUUAAGUCAGUUGUGAAAGUUUGCGGCUCAACCGUAAAAUUGCAGUUGAAACUGGCAGUCUUGAGUACAGGAGAGGUGGGCGGAAUGCGUGGUGUAGCGGUGAAAUGCUUAGAUAUCACGAAGAACUCCGAUUGCGGAGGCAGCUCACUGGACUGCAACUGACACUGAGGCUCGAAAGUGUGGGUAUCAAACAGGAUUAGAUACCCUGGUAGUC
Molecule: ribosomal RNA, 460 nt
Filed under: uncultured bacterium
Lineage: Bacteria
Description: partial 16S ribosomal RNA
Rfam family: Bacterial small subunit ribosomal RNA
Source: RNAcentral